GAUCCUGGCUCAGAUUGAACGCUGGCGGCAGGCCUAACACAUGCAAGUCGAACGGUAGCACAGAGGAGCUUGCUCCUUGGGUGACGAGUGGCGGACGGGUGAGUAAUGUCUGGGAAACUGCCYGAUGGAGGGGGAUAACUACUGGAAACGGUAGCUAAUACCGCAUAACGUCGCAAGACCAAAGAGGGGGACCUUCGGGCCUCUUGCCAUCGGAUGUGCCCAGAUGGGAUUAGCUAGUAGGUGGGGUAACGGCUCACCUAGGCGACGAUCCCUAGCUGGUCUGAGAGGAUGACCAGCCACACUGGAACUGAGACACGGUCCAGACUCCUACGGGAGGCAGCAGUGGGGAAUAUUGCACAAUGGGCGCAAGCCUGAUGCAGCCAUGCCGCGUGUAUGAAGAAGGCCUUCGGGUUGUAAAGUACUUUCAGCGAGGAGGAAGGYGUUGKGUUAAUAACCGCAGCRA
This 463-nucleotide ribosomal RNA is filed under the name Citrobacter freundii. RNAcentral's name for it is "bacterial SSU rRNA". It matches the Rfam family "Bacterial small subunit ribosomal RNA", at positions 15 to 475 of the family's 1533-position model. The record is from RNAcentral. Lineage: Bacteria; Pseudomonadati; Pseudomonadota; Gammaproteobacteria; Enterobacterales; Enterobacteriaceae.